RNAcentral lists this ribosomal RNA (856 nucleotides) under Lactococcus lactis. Its description in RNAcentral is "bacterial SSU rRNA". It matches the Rfam family "Bacterial small subunit ribosomal RNA", at positions 56 to 895 of the family's 1533-position model. The record is from RNAcentral. Lineage: Bacteria; Bacillati; Bacillota; Bacilli; Lactobacillales; Streptococcaceae.
UGCAGUUGAGCGCUGAAGGUUGGUACUUGUACCGACUGGGAUGAGCAGCGAACGGGUGAGUAACGCGUGGGGAAUCUGCCUUUGAGCGGGGGACAACAUUUGGAAACGAAUGCUAAUACCGCAUAAAAACUUUAAACACAAGUUUUAAGUUUGAAAGAUGCAAUUGCAUCACUCAAAGAUGAUCCCGCGUUGUAUUAGCUAGUUGGUGAGGUAAAGGCUCACCAAGGCGAUGAUACAUAGCCGACCUGAGAGGGUGAUCGGCCACAUUGGGACUGAGACACGGCCCAAACUCCUACGGGAGGCAGCAGUAGGGAAUCUUCGGCAAUGGACGAAAGUCUGACCGAGCAACGCCGCGUGAGUGAAGAAGGUUUUCGGAUCGUAAAACUCUGUUGGUAGAGAAGAACGUUGGUGAGAGUGGAAAGCUCAUCAAGUGACGGUAACUACCCAGAAAGGGACGGCUAACUACGUGCCAGCAGCCGCGGUAAUACGUAGGUCCCGAGCGUUGUCCGGAUUUAUUGGGCGUAAAGCGAGCGCAGGUGGUUUAUUAAGUCUGGUGUAAAAGGCAGUGGCUCAACCAUUGUAUGCAUUGGAAACUGGUAGACUUGAGUGCAGGAGAGGAGAGUGGAAUUCCAUGUGUAGCGGUGAAAUGCGUAGAUAUAUGGAGGAACACCGGUGGCGAAAGCGGCUCUCUGGCCUGUAACUGACACUGAGGCUCGAAAGCGUGGGGAGCAAACAGGAUUAGAUACCCUGGUAGUCCACGCCGUAAACGAUGAGUGCUANAUGUAGGGAGCUAUAANUUCUCUGUAUCGCANCUAACGCAAUAAGCACUCCGCCUGGGGAGUACNACCGCAAGGUU